Molecule: ribosomal RNA, 250 nt
Filed under: uncultured bacterium
Lineage: Bacteria
Description: partial 16S ribosomal RNA
Rfam family: Bacterial small subunit ribosomal RNA
Source: RNAcentral
UACGUAGGGUGCAAGCGUUGUCCGGAAUCAUUGGGCGUAAAGAGCUCGUAGGCGGUUUGUCGCGUCGGCUGUGAAAACCCGAGGCUCAACUUCGGGCUUGCAGUCGAUACGGGCAGACUUGAGUUCGGCAGGGGAGACUGGAAUUCCUGGUGUAGCGGUGAAAUGCGCAGAUAUCAGGAGGAACACCGGUGGCGAAGGCGGGUCUCUGGGCCGAUACUGACGCUGAGGAGCGAAAGCGUGGGGAGCGAAC